CCUGGGAAUCAUCGGCUUGGGUGUCUCCAUCCUGUUCUGGAUCAUGUUCUGCAUAGCCUGCAGUCGCUAUAGGGAGCAGCAGAUUGAGGAGGAGGUUCUGAGACACAGUGAAAGUGAAGCUCACCAACGGUCCAUUUACUUCAUCCCCUUCCGAGCAGAAGGCAUGUCACAUUCAGACAGCGAAGAUUCACAUGCACCUCCGCGGUACAGCACUGAUGUCUACAAUGGGCCUCCACCGUCAUAUAAUGAGCUGGAUUUUAAGCCUGAUGAUCUGCCACCUGCUUACACAGAACAAGACUUUUCUGUGAAUUUCACAGCACCAAACUCAGUCAUAAUAGACGCACAGCCACCACAGUAAGGCAUCACUGUCACACUGCUGCUGUGUUAAGGUUAUGGACAGUCUUGAUUAUUGCACUGCCUCGUGGACUGAAGUGAACCAGUAACUGCAGUUUAUAAUGUUCUAAAGAUUCUUUUUUAUUGUGAGCUUGUCCUUUUAUUGCGACACCGAAUGUGACGAUGGCACGAAGAGAAAAUGACAGCAGGCUUAAAGCUACGAUGCUGCAAAGAACAAAGAAAACAACAACAACAAAAAAACCCACUUCAGACCUGAAUUUGAUUUUAUUCCUGUGUAUAAUGAUUGUUAAAAUGGGACACAUGCAUAUCAUUUCACUAAUUUGUGUGAAAAUCGCCACCCUGGAGGUUAUAUGUUUGUUCUAGUUUGAUGCAUAUCUCUCUGUUUCUUUACAGGUUUUCAUAAAAUCAGGUUCACAAUA
This is a long non-coding RNA of Acanthochromis polyacanthus (spiny chromis), 773 nucleotides long. RefSeq lists it as uncharacterized. The record is from RefSeq and is a predicted model, not a curated record. The transcript is spliced from 3 exons. Lineage: Eukaryota; Metazoa; Chordata; Actinopteri; Pomacentridae.